This 730-nucleotide long non-coding RNA is filed under the name Marmota monax (woodchuck). The record is from RNAcentral. Lineage: Eukaryota; Metazoa; Chordata; Mammalia; Rodentia; Sciuridae.
UAGUUAGAGAUAAAUAAAAAGGACUGAGAUUACCAGAGUGUAAGUAUAAUGUAUUUCAGCCAUCCCUGGCUGCACAGGGCAUUUUUGCUUAAAGAAUUUGUUCACGUAUGUACAGCUUAAAUAACAUUGCUGUUUUUACUCAGUCUUUUUCAUUAAUAACAAUGAUGAACCUUUCAAAAGUUUCUAGCCACAAAAAUACAUAAUUUCAGAAAUCUUCUGGUUCAUCUUCCAUAUAUUCUGCCAUAUUCACUAGGGCAAGAUAAUAUAAACCUUUUGGCAGCCCAUCAAGGCAUUCACUUCUUUUAAUUUUAAGGCCAAACAUAUACUGCAUAGAAAAGUAUGAUACAUGGAACAACAUAAUUUUACAUGGAACAACAUAAUUUUACAUGGAACAACAUAAUUUUACUUAGUAAAUUUUUUUUUUCAUGAAAAAUAUAUCCCAACUCCUUUGUCUUGGGAUUACAUUAGAAAAAUAUGAGGUAAUUAUACUGUGUACUAUGACCUUAGGCUAUGAGCCUUAAAAUUACCUUAAAAUACAAACAAAAAAAUAAUGUUUACUUUUAAAUAUAGUUUUUAUAUUUCAAAACAUUCAAAUCAAAUCCCACAGCAAUCAAUGACACAAAAAAGAUGAGAAAAACAACUGCAGUUUUGGUGCCUCAUCAUGACAUUUCAAUACCUGCUGUAGAUUGCCUGUGGCUUCCACUUUUAACUUAAAAAAAUGAUAAUUUUU